This 468-nucleotide ribosomal RNA is filed under the name uncultured bacterium. RNAcentral's name for it is "partial 16S ribosomal RNA". It matches the Rfam family "Bacterial small subunit ribosomal RNA", at positions 28 to 507 of the family's 1533-position model. The record is from RNAcentral.
GACGAACGCUGGCGGCGUGCUUAACACAUGCAAGUCGAACGGAAAGGCCCUGCUUUUGUGGGGUGCUCGAGUGGCGAACGGGUGAGUAACACGUGAGUAACCUGCCCUUGACUUUGGGAUAACUUCAGGAAACUGGGGCUAAUACCGGAUAGGAGCUCCUGCUGCAUGGUGGGGGUUGGAAAGUUUCGGCGGUUGGGGAUGGACUCGCGGCUUAUCAGCUUGUUGGUGGGGUAGUGGCUUACCAAGGCUUUGACGGGUAGCCGGCCUGAGAGGGUGACCGGCCACAUUGCGACUGAGAUACGGCCCAGACUCCUACGGGAGGCAGCAGUGGGGAAUAUUGCACAAUGGGCGGAAGCCUGAUGCAGCAACGCCGCGUGAGGGAUGACGGCCUUCGGGUUGUAAACCGCUUUCGCCAGGGAAGAAGCGAAAGUGACGGUAAUUGGUAAAGAAGCACCGGCUAACUACGUG